RNAcentral lists this ribosomal RNA (238 nucleotides) under uncultured bacterium. Its description in RNAcentral is "partial 16S ribosomal RNA". It matches the Rfam family "Bacterial small subunit ribosomal RNA", at positions 15 to 245 of the family's 1533-position model. The record is from RNAcentral.
GAUCCUGGCUCAGGAUGAACGCUAGCUACAGGCUUAACACAUGCAAGUCGAGGGGCAGCAUCAUUAAAGCUUGCUUUGAUGGAUGGCGACCGGCGCACGGGUGAGUAACACGUAUCCAACCUGCCGACAACACUGGGAUAGCCUUCCGAAAGAAAGAUUAAUACCGGAUGGCAUAGUUUUCCCGCAUGGGAUAAUUAUUAAAGAAUUUCGGUUGUCGAUGGGGAUGCGUUCCAUUAGG